This 1197-nucleotide long non-coding RNA is filed under the name Equus asinus (donkey). Its description in RNAcentral is "lncRNA (ENSEASG00005034485.1)". Lineage: Eukaryota; Metazoa; Chordata; Mammalia; Perissodactyla; Equidae. The record is from RNAcentral.
GUCCUACUUAGUGUUUAGUAUCCUCGUUUGAGUUUUUCCUAUUUCAUCCUCACAAGAGGUCCAGUAGAUUUGUGACUGCCAAGCAGGUCUUCAGAAGAAUUAAACAUAAAUUUGAAAAAAUAAUCUUUCCACAUUUUCAGGUAUGACACACUAUGUCUUGAAUUCAUUAAGACCUGUGUUUGUAGUUAGUUGUGUAUCUCAUUUAUCCUUCUUAGAGCAUAACACUUCCUCCUGGGAUCUCAAAGACCAGACCUUUACUUCUGGGAGAGCACAGAUCCGAGGCCUGACAGGUCCAAGCAGGUGAUAGGUCCCAUCUAGUGAUAGUUAAAAUUUAACUUGCAGAAGAUUAAUCAGGGUUCAAGUCAGAGCAACUGGAAGAGGUGGCUUCCCGUCUUGACUCCCAGGAUUGCAGUUUCCAAAUCCUAUACUCGGACCAGCUUGCUCUUCCUUUUCUCCGUAUAAAUGAAAACAAAGUGAAGGGAAAGCAUUUCUACUACAGUGUAACAUCAAGUCUCCCUGCUUCAUACUCUGCAGGACAGGGAGCCAUUCAGGAGUGUCAGAGUCUUACAGCAUUUGCCAUUUAGGGAUACUUACUCUGGGCUUAAGGGCACCUGCUCAUUGGAUUUAGUUUUACUGUUGUUGUGGAUACCUGUGGAAUGCUAGCUUGUCCCAUAGAACAGUUAGAAUAUCAAAUGUCACCUGCCAUCACCUGCCGCCUAGAAUCUCAUUGUACAGAACUCAAGAAAGUCUGGGCCUUGGGCUUUCCUCCCUUUUCUGCUCUCAAGCCAAGACCUGAACUCCUGCAGAGGAUAUAAGACAGGAAUUUCCCAGGUUAUCUUGCUGCUACCUCGAGAGGCAACUGUCAGAAAGUGAAUGCCAAAGAGAGUGCAGAUCCCCUGGCAGGGCCAGGAGCCGCUGGUACUGGAAAGUAUGAACUCUGUGAAAUUUCCCCACUCGGUCUUGAUGUUAGCAUCCCUGGGCUGGAAAAGAGCCAGGUUGAUUUUUUUCCACUCAAUUCUGGGAAAACAAACAAACAACUCUAGAGUGGAGGAUAAGGGAAAAAAGGAGGAAACUUAGAGAAAAUCAAGAGGCAUCUUCCCCUCUUACAAAUCCUCUGCCCUACUGCUCAGGAAAAAAAACACGUUUCCUCAAAUGCUUGUUUUUCUGUGGUGAUGAAUAAAGUAGUCACAAUUUCUG